AGACAUUUUACCUAAUUUGGCUAUUUAUUUAACACAAGCACUCUUCAGUUUGUCUUCAUGGGACUACAUUUUAAUGAUUCACUGUCCUAGUAAAGUGUCAUGUUAAUUUUAUUUUCAGUGGAUCCAGGAGCUGGUCUGCUGUUUCAACAAGGUAGCCAUUUCUAAGCAAUAAAAAACCCCAAAAACCCAGAAGACAAAAAUACCCCUCCACAAACAUAGAGAAAUACUGUGGUAUUAUGGUCAUCAGAGCAUGUGUGGCACUGCCCACAAGUCCUUGGUGGGUUCUGGAGCUGUCCAAGGUUCCAAAGUUCCAGGGAGGGAGCCUGCAGCAGUCAGAGGGCUCUGGGCUCUGCUCAACUCAGUACUGUGAGGAGCAUAAGGACAUCAUGACAUUUGGACUAACAUCCUACAGAAUUGUAGAGAAGGUCAAAUAUAAAACUCAAGCAAGGGAUCCCUGGGUGGCGCAGCGGUUUGGCGCAUGCCUUUGGCCCAGGGUGCAACCCAGGAGACCCGGGAUCGAAUCCCCUGUCGGGCUCCCGGUGCAUGGAGUCUGCUUCUCCCUCUGCCUAUGUCUCUGACUCUCUCUCUCUCUGUGUGACUAUCAUAAAUAAAUAAAAAUUAAGAAAAAAAUUAAAAAAAAAU
Molecule: long non-coding RNA, 642 nt
Filed under: Vulpes vulpes (red fox)
Lineage: Eukaryota; Metazoa; Chordata; Mammalia; Carnivora; Canidae
Description: lncRNA (ENSVVUG00000004961.1)
Source: RNAcentral